CGCUAUUUAGGUUAGAGUUUGAUCAUGGCUCAGAACGAACGCUGGCGGCAGGCUUAACACAUGCAAGUCGAACGCUCGUAGCAAUACGGGAGUGGCGGACGGGUGAGUAACGCGUGGGAACGUGCCCUGAGGUACGGAAUAACUGCGGGAAACUGCAGCUAAUACCGUAUGAGCCCGAGCAAUCGGGGAAAGAUUUAUCGCCUUAGGAGCGGCCCGCGUCGGAUUAGCUAGUUGGUGGGGUAACGGCCUACCAAGGCUUCGAUCCGUAGCUGGUCUGAGAGGACGAUCAGCCACAUUGGGACUGAGACCGCCC
This 313-nucleotide ribosomal RNA is filed under the name uncultured bacterium. RNAcentral describes it as "bacterial SSU rRNA". It matches the Rfam family "Bacterial small subunit ribosomal RNA", at positions 1 to 332 of the family's 1533-position model. The record is from RNAcentral.